GUGACGGGGACUCCUCGGGAGGAGGAGAUGUGUGGGAUCCUGCACUCCCCACACUUGGGGCUCUGAGCCCCCAGUUGGGAAGAAGCCUGACUCUUGUUGAGUGAGUCUGUGGACCGGGCACCACGAUGGGCAGUGUGCGUGCACGUCACUUAGUCCCUGCUUAACCCGUGAGGCAGGAGCUGUCAUCGACCCCUUUCAUGGAUGGAACAGCUAAGGCCAAGAGAUAUGAAGUGACUUGUUCAAGGUAACAGCAACGAAAAGGCAACACCACUGUCCGAACCCAAACCAUCUGGCUGCAAACCACAGCUUCGGAGUCCUGGGGGCCCUUGUGAAAUAUGUUUGUUGGGUAGCCCCAGCUUUCUGAUCAAUUAAAUAGCCAGGCACUCACCCCCCUAGCUUGAUACAUUCUAAAAUACCUCUCCCUCCCUUCCCUGCUCCUAUGACUUAAAUGGCAAAGCUCUGGCAAAGAACUGAGCGUGGGAAAGAUGAGAGCAGAGAGUUAGCCACAGGGCAGGGCUUCGUAUCCCAAGCCCACAGUUGUACUUUCUGGUUUGGGAGGGGAGUACUGGCCAUCCCCCAGCAGACCCACUGCAGCUGAGGCCAUCGAGAUGGGUACAGAUGUGUAGUGGUAUGUCACCAUACACAUGGACAUACACGCACGUGACUGUGAUGAGCAUUUUGCUCACCGUCCCACAGAGAUCCACUCUGAGGCCUGCUGCUGCCUGGCAAGCAGGGCCCCCUGGCUCUGAGGGCCAUUCUGGGGCAUUGAAGGGACGCACACUAGAGCCAGCUGUGCUUACCGGCGGAGGCAGCCCCUGUAACCUGUGUUGUCCACCCAAAGGCCACCAUCACCCAUGAGAACAGGGUGCCUACUGUGCACAUGCAACUCCAAACAGACUCCCCAGGUGCCUCCCAGGCCCCCACAACAGUGUGGCCAGCCCUCAGUCCCUCCUUAGGAUGCCCUGGCCCCUGCUGACCUGCCUGGGUUGCCCUCUGUGCUCACUUCUGAGUAUAGCCGGCCCAGCCUGAGAGGGACGGGAUGCUCUGUGGGAGAGAUGCGGUGGGGAGGAGCUCUUGACCAGAGCUGGAGACACUGCAUGCCAAGGCUGGGGCUGUGAGCCUGCUCCCUGGCCUCUGGGAGAAGCUUAGAGCAGGACUCAGGGGCCUGUUCUGUGGGCCGCUGCAGGCCCCGAGACUGGCCACCUUGAGGGCAACAUCUGCAGUGCUGGCUCCUCCAGCACCUCCGUCCACUGGAGACUCAUGAAAGGCUCCUGUGAGGCCUCCCUGGCUCGGACCUCUCCAUGGCCGGCCUCAGCCCUGGCCUUAAUGAUAGUCCUACUGCAAGUGGCUGUCCUUUCUGGGAAUGAGUGAGAUCCUUGCCAAGGCUCAGGAGGCCACACAGAACAAAGGGACUGUUUCUGGGGGUUCUUCAGCUGGGUGUGCCGUGACCAUGGCCAUUGGCGCCAAGAUGCAAGUCUUGGGGACAGGGUGGACCUGGUUCCCACCCACAGCCUCUUCCCUCAGGAAUCUGUGCUCUCCCUGUGAUUUGGGCAAUCACUUUGCUCUGUGUUCUCACCUGGAUGACGGGGUGCUGGCCUAGGCACCAUCCAAGGUUCCUUCCCUCUGUAACUCACUUUGACCUCCUGACUGCAAUAAGUAUGACUGGACACUAUAGGAGGAGGCAUCUCUGGCCUUUGGAUCCAGGGGUAUAGGGAGGGUGACGGGCAGUGGUCCUGGGGUCAGCACUUGGCAUUAUGCCCAUGUUCUCAUUGGCUCCUCUUACCAACCACUGAUUCAAAAGCCAGACAAGGCUCAGCAAGGCUAAGCGACUCACACAGUCUCAGCGCUGGUGAGAGGCAGAGUUGGCUCAAGCGCAUCUGCUGGCUGCAAGCCCAGCCUCCCCACGCUGCAAGCAAGAGGAGCAGGUGCCACUCAGUGAGCGGCAUAUUUUGGUCUCAGUCCCGGAAGAGCAGGGUGGGCUGGUCCCUAGGGGCUGGACCAUGGAAUUAAGGGCUCCGGGGAUCCCCUGGGGCCGUGGUUCCUAUGCCUGGCUCACACUGAGUGGCCUGAGCAGCUUUGGACAAUGACGAUGCCCAGGACCCAGCCCAGCCCUCCUCCAUCAGAGCCUCUGGGCGUCAGGCUGCCCAAGGUGCAGGCUCUGAUGGGGAAGAAACUGGUGCCCUCAUGGGGACCUCAGGUAGCCAGAUGUGGCCUGAGGAGUCUGUCCUGUGGCCUCCUCUGUCCUCAAGGUUAGGCUCCAGCUGGGGAGGAGUGAUUCACUCUUGUAAAUUACAGGGAGGCUCCAGGGAGGUAGAUGCUCCCAGCCUGAUGACUGGCAGCAAUUCUGGGGCCCUUACCUAGGUUCUCCCUGCCACUGCGGACUCCGGGAGCUCUCCAUGGUGACCUAGGAACUCCCCUGGGUGCUUAUGCUCUGCCGAGAGCUGCUCUGUUGCACACUCAUUCAACAAACAUUUAUUUAGUGCCUGUCACAUGGGCUCAGAGUCAGCUUUUUGGGUUCUGAACCCAGCCAGGGCCACUUCCCGUGGCCUUGGGCCAUGGCUUAACGCUGAGCCUCAGCCUCAGAAGUGCCGGCCUUGUGGAGGAUCGAUGCCAUUGGGCCAGUGCUCAGCUAGGGCUGAGGAAGCGUUGGCCGCUGCUGGCUGUAGCAUGGGGAGCCCAGAGGGCUGGAGGUGCCCCAGGCUUGGUGGGCCCAGGGUGCAGAUUGACAGGAAAGGGACAGUGGUGUGCCCUGAGCAGAUAGCAGGGAUGGUGGCUGCAGGGCGGGUUGGGGAACAUGGGAGGCUGGGAGCUGAGGCUGCUGGGCACUCACGAUCUCUCCUUUCUCCUCAGUACGGCAAGAAGAAGCUGAAAUACCUGCCCUACAAUCACCAGCACGAAUACUUCUUCCUGAUUGGGCCGCCGCUGCUCAUCCCCAUGUAUUUCCAGUACCAGAUCAUCAUGACCAUGAUAGUCCAUAAGAACUGGGUGGACCUGGCCUGGGCCAUCAGCUACUACAUCCGAUUCUUCAUCACCUACAUCCCUUUCUACGGCAUCCUGGGAGCCCUCCUUUUCCUCAACUUCAUCAGGUUCCUGGAGAGCCACUGGUUUGUGUGGGUCACGCAGAUGAAUCACAUCGUCAUGGAGAUUGACCAGGAGGCCUACCGCGACUGGUUCAGUAGCCAGCUGACAGCCACCUGCAAUGUGGAGCAGUCCUUCUUCAACGACUGGUUCAGUGGACACCUUAACUUCCAGAUUGAGCACCACCUCUUCCCCACCAUGCCCCGGCACAACUUACACAAGAUCGCCCCGCUGGUGAAGUCUCUAUGUGCCAAGCAUGGCAUUGAAUACCAGGAGAAGCCGCUACUGAGGGCCCUGCUGGACAUCAUCAGGUCCCUGAAGAAGUCUGGGAAGCUGUGGCUGGAUGCCUACCUUCACAAAUGAAGCCACAGCCCCCGGGACACCGUGGGGAAGGGGUGCAGGUGGGGUGAUGGCCAGAGGAAUGAUGGGCUUUUGUUCUGAGGGGUGUCCGAGAGGCUGGUGUAUGCACCGCUCACGGACCCCAUGUUGGAUCUUUCUCCCUUUCCCCUCUCCUUUUUCCCUUCACCUCUCCCCCAUAGCACCCUGCUCUCAUGGGGCCUGCCCUCCCUCAGCCAUCAGCCAUCAGCCAUGGCCCUCCCAGUGCCUCCCAGCCCCUUCUUCCAAGGAGCAGAGAGGUGGCCACCGGGGGUGGCUCUGUCCUACCUCCACUCUCUGCCCCUAAAGGUGGGAGGAGACCAGCGGUCCAUGGGUCUGGCCUGUGAGUCUCCCCUUGCAGCCUGGUCACUAGGCCUCACCCCGCUUUGGUUCUUCAGAUGCUCUUGGGGUUCGUAGGGGCAGGUCCUAGUCAGGCAGGGCCCCUGACCCUCCCGGCCUGGCUUUGCUCUCCCUGACGGCCACCAUUGGUCCGCCCUUUCGUAGAGAGGCCUGCUUUGUUACAAAGCUCAGGUCUCCGCCCCGCAGCUGGGAUCAGUACCCGAGGCCUCUGUUAAGAUGUCCAGGGCCCUGGGCCUGCGGGCACAGCCAGCCCAAACCUUGGGCCCUGGAAGAGUCCUCCACCCCAUCACUAGAGUGCUCUGACCCUGGGCUUUCACGGGCCCCAUUCCACCGCCUCCCCAACUUGAGCCUGUGACCUUGGGACCAAAGGGGGAGUCCCUCAUCUCUUGUGGCUCAGCAGAGGCAGUGGCCACGUUCAGGGAGGGGCCAGCUGGCCUGGAGGCUCAGCUCACCCCCCAGCUUUUCCUCGGGGUGUCCUGAGGUCCAAGAUUCUGGAGCAAUCCGACCCUUCUCCAAAUGCUCUGUUAUCAGCUGGGCAGUGCCAGCCAAUCCCUGGCCAUUUGGCCCCAGGGGACGUGGGCCCUGCAGGCUGCAGGAGGGCACUGGAGCUGGGAGGUCUCGUCCCAGCCCUCCCCAUCUUGGGGCUGCUGUGUGGACGGCGCUGCCUCAGGCACUCUCCUGUCUGUACCUGCCCUUACUGUGUUUAACCUUUUGCUCCAGGAUGCAUUGUGAUAGGAGUGGGCGGCAGGGCUGGGCCUUGUGACAAUCUGCCUUUCACCACAUGGCCUUGCCUCGGUGGCCCUGACUGUCAGGGAGGGUCAGGGAGGCAGAGCGGGAGGGAGUCUCAGGAGGAGGCUGCCCUGAGGGGCUGGGGAGGGGGGUACCUCAUGAGGACCAGGGUGGAGCUGAGAAGAGGAGGAGGUGGGGGCUGGAGGUGCUGGUAGCUGAGGGGACGGGCAAGUGAGAGGGGAGGGAGGGAAGUCCUGGGGGGAUCCUGAGCUGCUGUUGCAGUCUAACCAACUAAUCAGUUCUUAGAUUCAGAGGAGGGGCGGGCACCAACAACUCAGAAUGGGGGCUUUUGGGGAGGGCGCCUAGUCCCCCCAGCUCUAAGCAGCCAGGAGGGACCUGCAUCUAAGCGUCUGGGUUGCCAUGGCAAUGGCAUGCCCCCCAGCUACUGUAUGCCCCUCACCCCUGCAGAGGCAGAAUGAGCCCAUAGGGAGCUGAUCGUAAUGUUUAUCAUGUUGCUUCCCCACCCCUACAUUUUUUGAAAUAAAAUAAGGAAUUUU
RNAcentral lists this small RNA (5099 nucleotides) under Pongo abelii (Sumatran orangutan). Its description in RNAcentral is "retained intron". Lineage: Eukaryota; Metazoa; Chordata; Mammalia; Primates; Hominidae. The record is from RNAcentral.